GACGAACGCUGGCGGCGCGCCUAGCACAUGCAAGUCGAACGAGCGAGAGAGAGCUUGCUUUCUCAAGCGAGUGGCGAACGGGUGAGUAACGCGUGAGGAACCUGCCUCAAAGAGGGGGACAACAGUUGGAAACGACUGCUAAUACCGCAUAAGCCCACGACCCGGCAUCGGGUAGAGGGAAAAGGAGCAAUCCGCUUUGAGAUGGCCUCGCGUCCGAUUAGCUAGUUGGUGAGGUAACGGCCCACCAAGGCGACGAUCGGUAGCCGGACUGAGAGGUUGAACGGCCACAUUGGGACUGAGACACGGCCCAGACUCCUACGGGAGGCAGCAGUGGGGAAUAUUGCACAAUGGGGGAAACCCUGAUGCAGCGACGCCGCGUGGAGGAAGAAGGUCUUCGGAUUGUAAACUCCUGUUGUUGAGGAAGAUAAUGACGGUACUCAACAAGGAAGUGACGGCUAACUACGUG
RNAcentral lists this ribosomal RNA (466 nucleotides) under uncultured bacterium. RNAcentral's name for it is "partial 16S ribosomal RNA". It matches the Rfam family "Bacterial small subunit ribosomal RNA", at positions 28 to 507 of the family's 1533-position model. The record is from RNAcentral.